GAUGAACGCUGGCGGCGUGCCUAAUACAUGCAAGUCGAGCGAACAGAUGCGGAGCUUGCUCCUCUGACGUUAGCGGCGGACGGGUGAGUAACACGUGGAUAACCUACCUCUACGACUUGGAUAACUUCGGGAAACCGUAGCUCAUACCGGAUAAUAUAUUUAACCGCAUGGUUCAAUAGUGUAAUACGGUUUUGCUGUCACUUCUAGAUGUAUCCUCGCUGCAUUGGUUAGUUGGUAAGGUAACGGCUUACCAAGGCAACCAUGCGUAGCCGACCUGAGAGAGGGAUAGCCGACAUGGGAGGGUAGACGGGGACAAGAGUACUAAGGGAGGGAGCAGAAGCGAAUGUGCGGCAGUAGGCGAAAGCAUGACGGAACAACGGCGCGUGAGUGACGAAGGUCUUCGGAGCGGAAAAAUCGGUUAUGGGGGAAGAACAAAUGUGGAAGUGAAUAAACACGUCGUGACGGUACCUAGACAGAAAGCCACGGCUAACUACGUG
Molecule: ribosomal RNA, 497 nt
Filed under: uncultured bacterium
Lineage: Bacteria
Description: partial 16S ribosomal RNA
Rfam family: Bacterial small subunit ribosomal RNA
Source: RNAcentral